GUCUACGGCCAUACCACCCUGAACGCACCCGAUCUAGUCUGAUCUCGGAAGCUAAGCAGGGUUGGGCCUGGUUAGUACUUGGAUGGGAGACAAAUGAGAACCUCAGUUCCCACUGAUG
Molecule: ribosomal RNA, 118 nt
Organism: Mustela putorius furo (domestic ferret)
Lineage: Eukaryota; Metazoa; Chordata; Mammalia; Carnivora; Mustelidae
Source: Ensembl